This 253-nucleotide ribosomal RNA is filed under the name uncultured bacterium. RNAcentral's name for it is "partial 16S ribosomal RNA". It matches the Rfam family "Bacterial small subunit ribosomal RNA", at positions 524 to 776 of the family's 1533-position model. The record is from RNAcentral.
UACGGAGGGUGCAAGCGUUAUCCGGAUUCACUGGGUUUAAAGGGUGCGUAGGAGGGCAGGUAAGUCAGUGGUGAAAUCCCCGAGCUUAACUUGGGAACUGCCGUUGAUACUAUCUGUCUUGAAUAUUGUGGAGGUGAGCGGAAUAUGUCAUGUAGCGGUGAAAUGCUUAGAUAUGACAUAGAACACCAAUUGCGAAGGCAGCUCGCUACACAAUUAUUGACUCUGAUGCACGAAAGCGUGGGGAUCAAACAGG